This 498-nucleotide long non-coding RNA is filed under the name Homo sapiens (human). RNAcentral describes it as "PREDICTED lncRNA (TCONS_00246407)". Lineage: Eukaryota; Metazoa; Chordata; Mammalia; Primates; Hominidae. The record is from RNAcentral.
AGAUGCCUCCUUGUUCCAGGCUGACAAGCCCGGGCUUGUGCUUAUUUCACUGUCUAACCCUGCCCAGGCCCCGGGGAGAAGCCUGGUAUUCUUCGUGUUUAUUUAAUUGUCAACUCUCUGUGUUCUAAGACGAUACCCUGGCCUUGACUCAGUACAACCUAGGACUGUAAGUCCCAUCAUGUCUAUGGACUUCAGUUUCCAGACAUGAAACACAAGAGGCUUGGACGAGAUUAGAAAUCAAGAACUCGAAUGCGUAUGGUCAGAGCCACGAGAGUUUCCAUAAAGGAACACAACCAUGUGGACAACUUGAUUAUGCCCUACAAAACUGAAUUCCUGUGAGCAUUCCUCUUCAAGAUGGAAGAAAAAGGGAAUAUUUCACAACCCCAAUGGUGAAACGUCUGCCUAUAGCCAACAAUACAAUCUCCAUCCAUGUAUGAUGUGACUUGCUCCUACAUGCCUUCCACCAUGAUUAUGAGGCCUCCUGAGCCAUGUGGAACU